Molecule: ribosomal RNA, 1766 nt
Filed under: Durio zibethinus
Lineage: Eukaryota; Viridiplantae; Streptophyta; Magnoliopsida; Malvales; Malvaceae
Description: SSU rRNA
Rfam family: Eukaryotic small subunit ribosomal RNA
Source: RNAcentral
CCCGAUUGAUCCUAAUAGUAGUCAUAUACUUGUUUCAAAGAUUAAGCCAUGGAUGUAUAAGUAUGAACUAAUUCAGACUAUCAAACUGUGAAUGGCUCAUUAAAUCAGUUAUAGUUUGUUUGAUGGUAUCUACUACUCAGAUAACCAUAGUAAUUCUAGAGCUAAUACGUGCAACAAACCCCGACUUCUGGAAGAGAUGCAUUUAUUAGAUAAAUGGUCAAUGUGGGCUAUGCCAAUUGCUCUGAUGAUUUAUGAUAACUUGACGGAUCACACGACCUUUGUCACAGCGAUGCAUCAUUCAAAUUUUUGCCCUAUCAAUUUUUGAUGGUAGGAUAGUGGCCUACUAUGGUGGUGACGGGUGAUGAGUGACGAAGAAUUAGGGUUCGAUUCCAGAGAAAGAGCUUGAGAAAUGGCUACCACAUCCAAAAGAAGGUAGCAGGUACGUAAAUUACCCAAUCUUGACACAGAGAGGUAGUGACAAUAAACAACAAUAUUGAGCUCUAUGAGUCUAGUAAUUAGAAUAAGUACAAUCUAAAUCGCUUAACAAUGAUCCAUUGGAGGGCAAGUCUGGUGCCAGCAACCAUGAUAAUUCUAGCUCUAAUAACGUAUAUUUAAGUUGUUACAGUUAAAAAGCUCAUAGUUGGAACUAGGGUUAAGUUGUCUGGUUCGUCUCACAAUGAGCACUAAUCUACUCAUCCUUACUAUCGACGAUGACUCCGGGCCUUAAUUGGUAGGGUCAUUCCUCUGAUAAUGUUACUUUGAAAAAAUUAGAAUGCUCAAAAUAGGCUUACACUUGUAUACAUUAGUAUGAGAUAACAUCAUAAGAUUUCAAUACUAUUGUGUUGGCCUUCAGGAUCGAAGUAAUGAUUAACAAGGAUAGUCGAAGGCAUUCGUAUUUCAUAGUCAGAGGUGAAAUUCUUGGAUUUAUGAAAGAUGAACAACUGUAAAAGCAUUUGUCAAGGAUAUUUUCGCUAAUCAAUAAUGAAAAUUGAAGGCUCGAAGAUGAUCAGAUACCGUUCUAGUCUCAACCAUAAAUGAUGAUGAGCAUCUAAUGAGAAAUCAAAGUCUUUGGGUUCUAUAAGGAGUAUGGUCACAAGGCUGAAACUUAAAAGAAUUGACAGAAGGGCACCACUAGGAGUAGAGCCUAUGGCUUAAUUUGACUCAACACGAGGAAACUUACCAAGUCAAGAUAUAGUAAAGAUUGACAGAUUGAAAGCUCUUUUUUUAUUCUAUAGGUAGUGGUGCAUGGCCAUUCUUAGUUGGUGGAAUGAUUUAUUUGGUUGAUUCCGUUAACAAAUGAGACCUUAGCCUGCUAACUAGCUACGCAGAGGUGAUCCUUCAUGGCUAACUUCUUAGAGGGACUGUGGCACUUAGGCAAAGGUAGUUUGAGGUAAUAAAAAGUUGGUGAUACCCUUAGAUGUUCUAGGCCACACGGACGCUACACUAAUGUAUUCAACGAGUCUAUAGCCUUGGCCGAUAGGCUCGGGUAAUCUUUUAAAUUUUAUCAUGAUAGGGAUAGAUCAUUGCAAUUGUUAAUCUCCAACAAGGAAUUCUUAGUAAGCACGAGUCAUUAGCUCACGUUGACUACAUCCCUACCCUUUGUACACACCACCCGUCACUCAUACUGAUUGAAUGGUUUGAUGAAGUGUUUAGAUUAUGGUGACGUGGAUGGUUCACCACCCACGACAUCACGAGAAGUCCACUGAACCUUAUCAUUUAGAGGAGGAGAAGUCAUAAAAAGGUUUUCAUAGGUGAACCUGCAAAAG